This 253-nucleotide ribosomal RNA is filed under the name uncultured bacterium. RNAcentral's name for it is "partial 16S ribosomal RNA". It matches the Rfam family "Bacterial small subunit ribosomal RNA", at positions 524 to 776 of the family's 1533-position model. The record is from RNAcentral.
GACGGAGGGUGCUAGCGUUGUUCGGAAUUACUGGGCGUGAAGGGCGCGUAGGCGGCCUGUUAAGUCGGGUGUGAAAGCCCGGGGCUCAACCCCGGAACGGCACCCGAGACUGGCGGGCUUGAGACCGAGAGAGGAGAGUGGAAUACCCAGUGUAGAGGUGAAAGUCGUAGAUAUAGGGUGGAACACCAGUGGCGAAAGCGGCUCUCUGGCUCGGUUCUGACGCUGAGGCGCGAAAGCGUGGGGAGCAAACAGG